Molecule: long non-coding RNA, 530 nt
Organism: Sorghum bicolor (sorghum)
Lineage: Eukaryota; Viridiplantae; Streptophyta; Magnoliopsida; Poales; Poaceae
Exons: 3
Source: RefSeq, a predicted model, not a curated record
AUAAAACUCCGGCGAACUUCCGGUGAACAUUCGCCGUGCUUUUUCGGCCAUGUUUUUCAUCUUCCGCGAAUUCUGCUUCUACCCGAGUUAAUUGUUCUCCGAAUUGUAUUGUUGUCUAGCAUCUGCCGGCCACAUCCUUGAGCCUCCUAGUUCCGACUUCGGUCCCUCCAUUCGUGCACAGGGGGAGGAAGCCAUCGCUGCCCUGUGCGAUAGCCUUGACGCAGACCGGCGCCGACCUUCCAUGCGUGGGCCUAGCCCCGGCCGGUGCGGACCAAGCUAUCGGCAGGCCAACUGACCAAGGAUCAGCGGCCGUGGCACCCCAGCUAGUCGUCCUUCUCCCCUGGCCAAGGGUCUCCGCUGAGCUUCAAUGGACGAUGGUCAUGGAGGCCACGGGUGUUCUGCACGUUCUGUUCAAAGGAAGACGACGAGAUAUUUACAACUUCGCCACUGACGAGAACUGUUUGUGGACGCUGAAGAUGAGAAGAUGAUGACCAAAAGUUGAUGGUGUGAGAAUUGAGCAAGUGCUUAAG